GACGAACGCUGGCGGCGUGCCUAAUACAUGCAAGUCGAACGCACUCUCGUUUAGAUUGAAGGAGCUUGCUCCUGAUUGAUAACAUUUGAGUGAGUGGCGGACGGGUGAGUAACACGUGGGUAACCUGCCCUAAAGUGGGGGAUAACAUUUGGAAACAGAUGCUAAUACCGCAUAAAACCUAACACCGCAUGGUGUAGGGUUGAAAGAUGGUUUCGGCUAUCACUUUAGGAUGGACCGCGGUGCAUUAGUUAGUUGUGAGGUAAAGGCUCACCAAGACCGUGAUGCAUAGCCGACCUGAGAGGGGUAAUCGGCCACACUGGGACUGAGACACGGCCCAGACUCCUAC
This 346-nucleotide ribosomal RNA is filed under the name uncultured bacterium. RNAcentral describes it as "bacterial SSU rRNA". It matches the Rfam family "Bacterial small subunit ribosomal RNA", at positions 28 to 342 of the family's 1533-position model. The record is from RNAcentral.